ACAGUCUGUGGAUUGAAACUGAGACUUACCUGAUUGUCACUUGGUUUAUGCUACAGUUUGUCAUGGCACAAACUGUUUCACCUUAUAGGAUAGAGUGUUUUAAAGGGUAAAAAACUGAGUAAGUAGACUACUUUAAUAUCAAAUAUUUUUAUUACUUCUUUAUGAUACUAUGUUAAAUCACAAUCUUUUUAUCAUAUAAGUAUAUUGCCUCUGUGUGUUAGUCCAUAUGUUUGAUAAGCAUAGAUACAGUACACUGUGCUAAGUACUGAAUGGAAGGGGAUACAAAAAUAUGUAAGAUAUAGGAUUCCUCAAUGAGCUUAUUUACUCACAAGUAUUAUGGUGGUAGACUUGAUAUUCUAGGUAACUAAUUAGAUAAUGUGAAUGGUAAGGGGAAAAAUCAGAGAAUAACAAAAAUCUUUAUUGAGUGACUGAAAAAUAUCAGUACUACUGACAGAACUAGGCAAAUAGGGAGAAUGACUCAAUUUUGAUGGGAAAAAAUGAAUAAAUAUAAUUAUCCCUUCCAUAUUGGGACUUCCCUAAUUGCAGUCUCUGCAUAUUAUAGGUUGAUAUAAGAAAGUGGAAUUUGGGGGGAGAUUUGCAGAAACUGCAGAAUAUACCCAAAGGCCAGCAGAUGACAGAAAAAGUUUACUCAGAAUGCAUAAAAUAUAUGUAUAGUAUUGUGUAUCAAUCCAAAUUUUACAAUAAAAUACUAAAAAUCCACAAUAAAAGACAAAAGAAAACAAUUUAGACUUCUAGUACAAAGGGAGUAACAAAAGAUUUUAUGCCUAUUUUUCAGAUUGUGGGAGCACUGUACCCGAACUCCUGGUCCCCUAAACCCCACAAGAUAGAAGGAAUAACUGUACACACAUUUCUCAACUGUUAUACAGUAUGCUGACUAUAAGUCAAUCACUAGAUAUGUGUCUAUAUAGAGAAUUUUAGGGAUUGUGAGGGAGGAACAUAUACAUAUUUAUAUACAUAUAGAUAUAUGUGUGUAUUUUUACAUUCUCUCUCUCCAUACACACACACACACACACACACACACACACACACACACACAAAAAAAAAAAAAAACACACGAGUGAGGGAAGAAAGAAGAGGAGAGAGAGUGUCCAAAAACUCUUGACUGAAAAAACAUUGACUUAGCAAGCAGGUCCCUAUCUCCUUGCACUGGAGCUCAUUUUUCGAUUUCCUCACCCUUGCUUUGUCUGUCAGUUGCAUGACUAGUCUUCCCUCAAAUCCAGUUGCACUUAAAAUUUUGCUAUGUAACACCAGUGCUAUAUUGUAAAAAUGACUAAUAAUGAAAGGAAGUAUAUGAUAAAUAUCAAGGGAACAGUACUUACUAUUAAGAGCUAUAGGUUCAGAGGAGAGGAAAGAUACUGGGAUGGUAGUGGUUUCAGAAGUCAUCCACAUGUAUGAAUCUUUGCUACUUUCCAGGAGAAUGAGGAUAUUCUUUUACUCUGAAUAGCCUGAUUCCUAACCGCAUUCAGUCCUAGAGGAAACUGACCUCACUUUGUGCACCUUUUCCCCCAUAUUCCUUUGUUCUUUAUAUACUUUAUAUGUGGGAAGUGUGUGUGUAUGUAUGUGUAUGUGUGUGUCAUAUAAAGUUCACUGUGCUAAGAGGUACAAGAGAGAAGCCCUGCCCUUAAGGAACUUAUAAGAGGAAAAGACAACACACAAAAGGAAGCUCAAAAGUGGGAAGAUAAGAUGUACGGUACCUAGAACAUACACAACACAAGAGUUGGAACUAGUUCAUCAGAUCAUACUGACGUGAAACAGAUGGCAGGUGUGGACAUAAUAAGAGUGUAUUGACAAAUGUCAGAGUUUGACUUCACAGCUUCAGAGAUAAAUAUAGAAUUAAAAAAUCAAGUAGACACUUGAUCAAAAA
Molecule: long non-coding RNA, 1885 nt
Organism: Antechinus flavipes (yellow-footed antechinus)
Lineage: Eukaryota; Metazoa; Chordata; Mammalia; Dasyuromorphia; Dasyuridae
Exons: 2
Source: RefSeq, a predicted model, not a curated record